GUAGGUGGCUGGCAGUGCCGCCACGUGCCAUUCUCCUCUUGUCGUUGUUGCUCCGGGGCCCGCUAUAUUGCCCCGGUUUUUUUUC
This 85-nucleotide non-coding RNA is filed under the name Burkholderia sp. Leaf177. RNAcentral describes it as "Burkholderia sRNA 16 (Bc_KC_sr1)". It matches the Rfam family "Burkholderia sRNA 16 (Bc_KC_sr1)". Rfam says of the family: Identified by RNA-seq, RACE and Northern blot. Strongly expressed in biofilm. Lineage: Bacteria; Pseudomonadati; Pseudomonadota; Betaproteobacteria; Burkholderiales; Burkholderiaceae. The record is from Rfam by way of RNAcentral.